UGGGGAAUAUUGCACAAUGGGCGAAAGCCUGAUGCAGCAACGCCGCGUGAGUGAUGAAGGCCUUCGGGUUGUAAAGCUCUGUCUUUUGGGACGAUAAUGACGGUACCAAAGGAGGAAGCCACGGCUAACUACGUGCCAGCAGCCGCGGUAAUACGUAGGUGGCAAGCGUUGUCCGGAUUUACUGGGCGUAAAGGAUGCGUAGGCGGAUUUUUAAGUGAGAUGUGAAAACCCUAAGCUUAACUUGGGGACUGCAUUUCAUACUGGAAAUCUAGAGUGCGGGAGAGGAGAAUGGAAUUCCUAGUGUAGCGGUGAAAUGCGUAGAGAUUAGGAAGAACACCAGUGGCGAAGGCGAUUCUCUGGACCGUAACUGACGCUGAGGCAUGAAAGCGUGGGUAGCAAACAGGAUUAGAUACCCUGGUAGUCCACGCCGUAAACGAUGAGUACUAGGUGUAGGAGGUAUCGACCCCUUCUGUGCCGCAGUUAACACAAUAAGUACCCCGCCUGGGAAGUACGAUCGCAAGAUUAAAACUCAAAUGAAUUGACGGGGUCAUAGCUG
This 556-nucleotide ribosomal RNA is filed under the name uncultured bacterium. RNAcentral's name for it is "partial 16S ribosomal RNA". It matches the Rfam family "Bacterial small subunit ribosomal RNA", at positions 355 to 932 of the family's 1533-position model. The record is from RNAcentral.